ACCGCCAUAUCACGUUGAAACUCCGGUUCUCGUACGAUCAGUGAAGUUAAGCAAAGUUGAGGCUGAUCACUACAAAGAUGAGUAACCGCUUGAGAAUGACAGGUGCUGUAAG
Non-coding RNA from Acanthosepion pharaonis, 112 nucleotides. The record is from the annotation of a GenBank genome assembly. NCBI's taxonomy places the organism in Eukaryota, Metazoa, Mollusca, Cephalopoda, Sepiida, Sepiidae.